CCCCCUGGACAAAGACUGACGCCCAGAUGCGAAAGCGUGGGUAGCAAACAGGAUUAGAUACCCUGGUAGUCCACGCCGUAAACGCUGUCUACUUGGAGGUUGAGGUUUUAGACUUUGGCUUUCGGCGCUAACGCAUUAAGUAGACCGCCUGGGGAGUACGGCCGCAAGGUUAAAACUCAAAUGAAUUGACGGGGGCCCGCACAAGCGGUGGAGCAUGUGGUUUAAUUCGAUGCAACGCGAAGAACCUUACCUACUCUUGACAUCCAGCGAAGCCUUUAGAGAUAGAGGCGUGCCUUCGGGAGCGCUGAGACAGGUGCUGCAUGGCUGUCGUCAGCUCGUGUUGUGAAAUGUUGGGUUAAGUCCCGCAACGAGCGCAACCCUUAUCCUUGUUUGCCAGCACGUAAUGGUGGGAACUCCAGGGAGACUGCCGGUGAUAAACCGGAGGAAGGUGGGGACGACGUCAAGUCAUCAUGGCCCUUACGAGUAGGGCUACACACGUGCUACAAUGGCAGAUACAGAGGGCAGCGAGACAGCGAUGUUUAGCGAAUCCCUUAAAGUUUGUCGUAGUCCGGAUUGGAGUCUGCAACUCGACUCCAUGAAGUCGGAAUCGCUAGUAAUCGUGGAUCAGAAUGCCACGGUGAAUACGUUCCCGGGCCUUGUACACACCGCCCGU
RNAcentral lists this ribosomal RNA (673 nucleotides) under uncultured bacterium. RNAcentral describes it as "bacterial SSU rRNA". It matches the Rfam family "Bacterial small subunit ribosomal RNA", at positions 725 to 1397 of the family's 1533-position model. The record is from RNAcentral.